Molecule: ribosomal RNA, 406 nt
Filed under: uncultured bacterium
Lineage: Bacteria
Description: partial 16S ribosomal RNA
Rfam family: Bacterial small subunit ribosomal RNA
Source: RNAcentral
AUUGAACGCUGGCGGCAGGCCUAACACAUGCAAGUCGAGCGAGCGGCGGACGGGUGAGUAAUGUCUGGGAAACUGCCUGAUGGAGGGGGAUAACUACUGGAAACGGUAGCUAAUACCGCUUACCAUCAGCUGUGCCCAGCUGGGUUUAGCUAGUAGGUGGGGUAACGGCUCACCUAGGCGACGAUCUGUAGCGGGUCUGGGAGGAUGAUCCGCCAAACUGGGAAUGGGACACGGCCCAGAAUCCUGCGGGGGGCAGCAGUGGGGAAUAUUGGACAAUGGGGGGAACCCUGAUCCAGCCAUGCCGCGUGUGUGAAGAAGGCCUUAUGGUUGUAAAGCACUUUAAGCGAGGAGGCGUUACUCGCAGAAUAAGCACCGGCUAACUCUGUGCCAGCAGCCGCGGUAAUAC